Eucalyptus grandis is the source of this 906-nucleotide long non-coding RNA. RefSeq lists it as uncharacterized. Lineage: Eukaryota; Viridiplantae; Streptophyta; Magnoliopsida; Myrtales; Myrtaceae. The transcript is spliced from 2 exons. The record is from RefSeq and is a predicted model, not a curated record.
CCAAAAACCUAGGGGGCAUGAUGCAAUCUUUCCCCCAAAAGACCCGCAAAGUCUAGACACUAUGGCAGUCUGCUGCACUUACACAAAUUCCCACGCCAGUUGGAGAGGCGAUCUUGCACUCGCGCACGAAGAUGGGGUUUCGGUUCGACCUGCUGGUCCUCGCGGUGGCCCUGCUCUCGACUCCGGCGCUCUCCGAUCUGGUGUUGACCAGGGUCGAUCGGCGCGAUCAAGCACGACUCAAAGCUAGCGAUCGGCACUAAACAUCGAACAGAAAGGACGAAAUUGAAAGGGAGAUCGUUACUCGACAAGAGCUGCUCCCGGGGAUUUCUCACUGAGGCCAGAGGACUCGAGACUGCGCUCAUCGUCACGGCGUGCGGCAGCGGGAGCGAGGCCAGCGAUCGGCGAAGGCGAAGCGCAAGGUUGGCGAGGUUCGAUUCGAUUCGAUUCGAGAGAGAGAGAUGAGAAAUAGAAGGAGGGAGGAGAUUAAAAAAGGGACGAUCCGUUGUGGUGCUCGAUGGUAUCGAUGCAGCUUGCUCGCUUGGCAGCCACACAGUCGAAGAGACGAAGAGCGGUGGCGAUCCCCUGCUUCGCGGCUUAGAUGAUUAGCGAUGAGAUAAGGGCUUUUACGGCCAUUGAUUCGAUCCUUAAGCAACACCCCACGCAGAUGGAGCCCGGGCGUCUGGCUGUCGAUAGCGGCCGAUGGUUUUCAGCCAUUGCAUUGUGGAUUGGCCGGGCGUUUCGAGAAGAAAUUGAGGGGGAAUAGAGGGAGAAAAGAAAGAUGAAUUGAAACCUUAAGAUUGACACUGACAAUUUUAGAAAAGUGGGACAAUGCGAGAUGAGCAUUGCUAUAACAUGAAUGGUUCGCAAAAUUUGUAUAUAAAAUGUGCUAUAAUUGUGAGCAAUCAA